AAAGAAACCUUUAAUGGAAGAAUUCCAUGAGGGCAAAAAACCUCUUAGGAAGACAAUUCCCCCCACCCUUGGUCCUGAUUGCUGCGAAGCUUCCUGGCCUCCUCCCAUCCCCCAUGGUGAUUGGACAAGUUCCUGAGAUCAAUGGACAUAAUACGAAGCAUGCUGGACCCAUAGUGGUGAAUCUCUCUUGCUACCUCCAAAGACUCCUUGCUUUUAUUUCCUAUCUUUUUUCUAUUGCCUGUCUUACCUUCCCCAUAUCCCUAAGCAACUAGGAUUUGUGAUAAACUGGCCAGGCUAACAUUUGACCCAUUGUGUCUUAAUCUUGCUGUCGGGUAUACAUAUAUUAAAAGAAUGUCCUCUCCCUCCUACAAAAAAGUUUCCUCUUCCUUUGUACAAAAAAGUUCACUCGAUCCUGUAACGUACAGUCUGGUUUGGAAUAGUGAGCUAUGAGCAAGGGGAGGGCCAGGACUUUCUUUUUAAUAGUGAUGAAUUGAACAAGACUGGUACCAGAGCCAGAUAAGUCAUGCCCCACAUAACUCUUAAUUCACCAGGAAAUGUAUAUUUUGUAGUAUAGUUUUCUAUGACAGACUCAAAAAUCUGAGGAUUUGAAUUAUAUAAGCUGGAAGUGUGCAAUAAAACACUGCAACUUGAAUAAAAUAUCUUCACAUACUGUAGAACAAACUUGGGAGUAGAAGCUAAGGCGCCACAUCCUUCUCCCUGUGUGCAAAACAAGCCUAUUUCUACUGAGGCAUUUUCAUCUCACAGGCCCAGCAUUAGAAAUAUAAGACUUUGUACUGAUAACAGCCUUCUCCUUUUUAUUACUGUUCAAGGGCAUCACAAAGGCAGAAAAAAAUAAAUGUAUUGGAAAGAAAAAUAGCUUUGGUUUCAUCAGGCAACAAUGUACAAUUAUCGGUUGUGUCACAAGUAUAUCCAUUAUUCUUUUACUUGACUUCCGGAACAACUCCUUUGGGGCAACUAAAAUCAGGACACCAAAACUUACAUCUGAACCCAACACCUUUAGGGUCAGUAGAUGGUUCGUCUCCAUGCAUGGCACCUGGAUGAAACCGUCCCCAGAAGCAUUCCUCAUGCGUAAGUUAAUUUAUCCCCUAAUACAAUGCGACUUUUUACCAGACACAGCAAGAAAAUAAUAGACAGAUUACAAAUCCAGCACAUGAAAACAUUAGGAAAGGCACUAGGGAGCUUACUUCUAAAUUUAUGUUCGAGUUCACUAAAUUACAUAAAGACUGCCACAUCCCAGCAAAGUUUCUCAGUACAACUGGUUUUCAGGCACAAUUCUGUCAUGUCUCAAAGAGAAGCAAAUGCAUUUUCUGGGCAUUUUACCAUCUUGAGGCAAGAAGGUAAAAAAAUCUGUCUGCCAUAUAUAUUAGUACUUUCUUUUUACAUUUUGAUGCCAUUAGCAUGUUUCAUAUGACCUCAUCCUUUAUCCAAGGGGUCAGCACAUAACUGCAAUUAUAUUUUAUGACUUCCUUAGAUAUACAGUGUGACUUUCUUAUUGAUUCUUUUGGCAAAAUUAACACACAUACAGACAGGAUUUAAGAACACUGUGGUUGGGUACAUAGCCAUGGAUGGAAAGGAAGGAAGUCAGAAGAUAUUUCUAACAUAUAUUAAGUUGUUGUAAGUGCAGUACUCCAACUGUAGUCAUGCUUGACUUGGAGCAGAGCAGAUUAGAAGACAUACCCCUGGAUGUUGGUCAGUGCAAUUAAUACCUUCAAACAAAGGAUCAUGUAGUAUUAGUUUCCAGGAUAAGUUUUUCUAGGCAUCUAUAAGGAGGCUUAAGGUUUACAUUUAAGUUGAAUAACUGAGCAUAUUUGAAGUUUACCUACAUAAAUCAAACACCAUGCAAAUUGACGCGGGCUGGAAACCUGGAGGAGUAACUUUUAUUCCUCUCUCCAGAAUUUAUACCAUAUUUAUCUAUUUAUCUAUACCCAAUUACAGUAUAUCUUCCUUUCGGUUUUUUCAGGAUAACAAAUUAUGUUUUCAAGUAAAGUGUGUAAGUAGAAGAAGGUACAAAAAAUAUGCUAAAAACAGAUUUGUAAUCCAGAUUUUGUCUGUAUAUAAUCUAAAAGAGUAUUUAUUCAUAAAAUUGGAACUAUUGAGUACCAAAGAUGCAUUCUCACGCAUAAUCAGAAUUUAAAAAAAAGACAUCUAUUUUUCUGUCCCUAUGUUAAUCUGGCUAGUACUACAAGCAAAUCUGAGAAAAAACUGGAUUAUCCUUUGAUCUGUUUCUUCCACCUAAUUUAGCUGCAUCACCAUGCUUACCAGCAGUCUAAACUUGGAGGUGUUAUUAUUUUAUGCUCUACUGGUGUUGCCUGAUCCAAGAAUAACACUUGACCCAAGUUUUUGUAGGAUCCAUUGGUAGAAUUAAUGGGAAAAAUCCCAAAUAAUAUUGCACGUGAAGCCACUGACACAGCACUUCACUGUCAGAUUUUGACUUCAUUCAGGUGUCCAGUUUUGCAGAAUCCUCAGCAUAUCAGAGCCAUUCUUGCUGAGGGUGUUGACCUUUAGUUCAUUUACUAGAAUCUUCCUAAGCUAGAAAUAUGAGCUCAACCAUAAACAGUGCUUUGUUCUCAAUAUAGGAAAAAACCUAUAGACAUUCAACAAUGCAUUAUAAUGAAUCACAUUUAUUUCACUGUAAUUUGGUCAUAUAAGCAAGUAAUUUAUUUUUUACACAUAGAAAACAGUAACUAUAUAUGCACUUCAAAUUUCCCAGGUGUUUCCAAUUUCAAAAUGCUAAAGAAACAUGCAUCUAAAUAAAGAUUUUUCUUUGUAAU
Gallus gallus (chicken) is the source of this 2792-nucleotide long non-coding RNA. NCBI's taxonomy places the organism in Eukaryota, Metazoa, Chordata, Aves, Galliformes, Phasianidae. The record is from Ensembl.